Molecule: long non-coding RNA, 438 nt
Organism: Neofelis nebulosa (Clouded leopard)
Lineage: Eukaryota; Metazoa; Chordata; Mammalia; Carnivora; Felidae
Exons: 3
Source: RefSeq, a predicted model, not a curated record
ACUCCAAUGAGGUGCCCUGUCUCCUAGGUAGAGAAAGGCCCUGUUGAGUUCUGCUUUGCAGUGCCUACGUAGUGCGGGGUUCCUGCAAGGUUUCUUUCCUAAAGAAUCCUGUUGGACACACAUUCUCAGGAGAAGGAAUUUGAAAACCUUUUCAAGAAAACUGGGAUGCUCAUUAAGAAGAUCCCUAAUUAGAAGACAAGACUUCCAACGGCAAUACGAAGAGAAUCCAAGUCCGAGAUAUUUGAAAAGCGUCUCCACGGGUAGAAGUCAUCAUAGGCACUUUGAGGGGGGCCUCGAUGGAGAAGUCCAGGGCUACCGUGUCCCUGCCCCACACAAGCACCCUGCACCCUCCUGGGACAGAAGACACAAGUUGCUCUGUCACAGCGUGUCCUGUCUUCAAAGCUGUGACAGGAAUUAAAGGGAUGGCAUUAAAAAUAA